Long non-coding RNA from Lagenorhynchus albirostris (white-beaked dolphin), 594 nucleotides. RefSeq lists it as uncharacterized. The transcript has 2 exons. Lineage: Eukaryota; Metazoa; Chordata; Mammalia; Artiodactyla; Delphinidae. The record is from RefSeq and is a predicted model, not a curated record.
ACCUGGGGAAGUGUCAUUGCCCUCAGUACACAGAUCAGAGCUUGGCUGACCUGUCAAACUCACAUGCGGAGACGGGGAAGCGCCAGGAUGUGGCCCCAGCUCUAACUGAAAAGCUUAUGCUUCAUCCACAAGGAGAUUCUGAUUAUCCUGGGACGAAAUAUUCUGUCAAAGCAUCAAAGUUCUUUAAGAUCUUUCCAGAGAUGAGAAUGGAUUUGUCCUUCCUAAGUUAGCGUGUCCCCUUUGCCGGAACACAUGAGCAGAGGCACAGGGGGAAUCUAACUGCCACCCCAGCACACCUGACAAAAGGUGAGGCCUUUGGCGGGUGAUGAGGGCAGAGCCCUCACGGGAUUAGUGUCCUUAUAUUGGGUUGGCGAGAAAGUGCGUUCGGAUCUUCCGUAACAUCUUAUGGAAAAACCCGAACGAGCUUUUUGGCCAGCCCAAUAAAAGCGGCCCCAGCAGGCUCCCUCAGCCCCUUACACCUUGGGAGGCUAGAAGGAGUCUGCAACCUGGGUGAGGCCUCAUCCCACCCUGCUGGUACCUCAGUCAGAUCACCAGCCUCCAGAACUGUCCGAAAUACACUUCUGUUGAUUGUAA